GUCUUUUUGAUUAUAAUUUAAAGUCUAGCCUGCCCAAUGAGGAGUUGAAUGGCCGCGGUAUUUUGACCGUGCAAAGGUAGCAUAAUCAUUAGUUUUUUAAUUGAAAGCUGGAAUGAAUGGUUGGACGAGAAAGUUACUGUCUCAAUUUAAUUUAAUUAGAAUUUUAUUUAUAAGUAAAAAAGCUUAUAUAAUUUUAAAAGACGAGAAGACCCUAUAGAGUUUUAUAAUUAUUUAUUUAUAGUAUUUUUAGUAUGUUUUAAUAUUAUAUAUAAAUACCUAUUUUAUUGGGGCGAUAGAAAAAUUUAAUAAACUUUUUUUAUAUUAUUACAUUAAUGUAUGAAUAAAUGAUCCAAUAUUUUUGAUUAUAAGAUUAAAUUACCUUAGGGAUAACAGCGUAAUUUUUUUUUAGAGUUCUUAUCGAAAAAAGAGUUUGCGACCUCGAUGUUGGAUUUAAAA
RNAcentral lists this ribosomal RNA (456 nucleotides) under Adoretus sp. JFM-2002. RNAcentral describes it as "partial 16S ribosomal RNA". It matches the Rfam family "Archaeal large subunit ribosomal RNA", at positions 1908 to 2612 of the family's 2987-position model. Lineage: Eukaryota; Metazoa; Arthropoda; Insecta; Coleoptera; Scarabaeidae. The record is from RNAcentral.